RNAcentral lists this long non-coding RNA (43917 nucleotides) under Triticum aestivum (bread wheat). Its description in RNAcentral is "long non-coding RNA (TAES_LNC013866)". Lineage: Eukaryota; Viridiplantae; Streptophyta; Magnoliopsida; Poales; Poaceae. The record is from RNAcentral.
GAGAAAUUCCGCUAUUUUUCAAAUUGCUCUCUAACCGUUGUGAAUUUGGGAAAAAUUUAUAUAUGUCGAGUGAGCAGAUUUGCAGCAGCUUUGAAAUGCCGUAUUAUUUGCCUCAUUCUGAUAAACAUUUGGAAAUGGUCUCGAAAAUAGGACUCAUGUUUUUUUGUAUGAUAUGAAGAAAAAUGGUUUGUAAAACUGCUCUUAAUCCGUGUAGAUUUUGACAUAAGUUUAACUUAGGUUGUGGUCCAUGUGUCGACAACUUUCCAACGGUAUAUUGCAAGACCCAUUUUGACAAUGUCCGCGAAAGUUCAAACUCUCCUUGGAUGAAGUUCAACUACUACUACUACGACAGGUCGGUUAGUUAUUAGUGUGUGUGUGUCUAUAUAUAUAUAUAUAUAUAUAUAUAUAUAUAUGGGCAAAGCAAAGCUAUUGUGUUUCUCUCUAGAGGUGGCAAUCACGAGCACACAUUCUUGUUGGGAUUUGAACCAGUAACUUUCCUUCUUUCCAUUUAUUUCAUUUCGUGUGAUUGAUAGGUAUGUCCUCUUAUAGAUGAAUUAGGACCACGGUCUCCUUGUUAUAGCCCAGUACGCUCGCUACGCAGUUAACCAGUUUUAGCAAAUAAUACUAGCUAGUUACGUCCACAACAUAGGCGAUGAUUCUUGAUGCUAGAUUAAGUUUCGGGGUGUGUGAAAGAAGAGACUUAAUUAAAAGUCUCGUCCCCCACACUAAACUUCGUCAAAUACACAUGACCCCUUAGAAGAUCGUCCAUCUUCAUCACCCUCUUGUGUACACAACGGUUCACUAUUCUCAACUACAGUGAACCCCAAGGAACUGCUAGCAGAUCGUCGACAGUCAGAGUCGGUCGAUUGUCAGAACCUUGUAACAAAGCGACACCAUAUUGUCAACGAAUUGAACCAAAGCAACACUCGAGGAAGCAUAGAAAAAACAUCAACCCUCGAUCACAACCUACACCUACCCAUAUAACUGGUCUUGAUGCGACCGUUGGAAAACGUAGUAGAAAACAAAAAAAUCGCACCUACGCACACCCAAGAUCAAUAUGAAGGUGCAUAAUGGGUUGUGAUCACGAUCAUUACCAUCACGUAGUAGAAAACAAAAAAAUCGCGCCUGUGCACAGCGAAAGAAGAACGUGUUAGUGUAGGUCGUAAUUGGAGUCCCUCGAACCGUCGAUGAACGAUACCGUGAACCGCCCACAAACAGUCCCUCAAACCAAAGACCUAAAGCACGACCUCUCUACUUGGUUGCAAACGUGCAUCCUUCACAAUCCGGUAGCGCUUUGUCGUCCAAAGCUAGUCAUUGCGAGAGAACUGGAGGGACGAGAUUAGAACCACACAGGGCUUCUAAUUAUGAGGAUUAGAGGAUUAGUCUAGCUCUAAUUAGUCAACUAGGAACCACUAGAACUAGAAGAACUAGAGGAGGCUCCAAAACUUGUGUAUGCAAAAGAGCAAAAUCCCCUAGUAUAUGUAGGUUGAAGGGGAGAGGGAGGGCUGCCACCAAGGGGGGAGGAAUCCCCCUUGGUGCGCCGGCCAAGGGGAGGAGUCCUCCUCCCUUUCCCCAAUUUGGCCUCCUACCUUAGGGAAGGAGGCGCCUCCCCCACUUGGGCCUUUGUGCGCCAAGUUUCCUUCCACCUCUUUCCCUUUUAAGGCCCGUUGAUAUCUAUACCUACUAAUAAAUCAAGGUGAUAUUCUUGGUUUGGUCUCGCAUCCAAUCCUACGUUAUGUUGAAAUACACGCGGCAGUACUAAUUCGUAGAGCCAAAUUUUUCGUUAAAAAGGUUUGUAUUGGCUGGGCUGCGUUCCUCCACUUGGGCCUUCACACGUCGUAUUUAUAGCUGGCCAUGGGAAACCCGGCUCGGCCGUCCCGAAAAAGCCCGACCCGACCCAACCUGAUCUUCCCAUGGGCCAGGCCUAGGCCUAAGUUUUUAGCCCAAAGGCUAGGACGAGCUUGGGCUUGACAUAUUCUUGUUUUAGGGAAGAGGCCCCACAGGUUUUUCACCGAUAGCCCUGGCCUGGGCCUGAAAUCUAGGCCUGAGCCGGGCCCGGGCCUAGGUUUUCUACUACGGGCAUUAUUAGGCCUAGUCUGAAGCCCAUCCCGACACGACUUAUGGCCUCGUAUAGUCGUAUCCUAUUGCCUAUACUAUCGAGGCUAGCUACCGUGUUUGUACCCCUAAAAAAAGCUAGUGUGUCUGUGUACAACUUCUUCUAGCUUCUUUAUAUAUGCACAAAUCAAACCCAUCCCACUGGUUCUUCCUGUAUUUGCCUUAUCUUGGUGUCACGGCAAUCGAUCGAAUCUUGGCUUCGCGGCGACGGUGUAACCAGCAUAAGCGAGAUUAGGGACCCGGCGUCGGCAACACACUGUAGCUGAGAGGCGCCACACGGCUACACGCCUAGAUCAUUCAAUCGCCAGGACACCAUGGACAAUGACAGCCAGAUCAUCAACUUCAAAGUUCUCCAGAGUUUUCCUACAAGGGAAGUAGCAGCGGCAGGGACAGGUUCAACAUGUACAUAUCUUCCUGACGACAUUGAUAGUUAGCAGGUAGUGGUACGCGAGCGAGCUCAGCUUUGACACGGCACGCGGUCAAGGUGAAGGACCUUAGGAUAUCCAAGUUCAAGUGUUGCACAAGAUAGAAGCGUUCCUGGUGGCCUACAUCUGGCCCAUCCCAGUGCUUCCUGCCAGCCUCGGCGGCCGCGUCAAUGCGCUCACCGUCAUAGGGAGUUUGGUGACAGAACCUCAACUUUGUGUACAUUGUCCGCUUUGACACCGACGCAGUUGUCAUGAAUCAGGUUCGUCCGACUGAUGCAAAAGUUCAUUUCAAAUUGGAUAAGGUGCUGCUAUACAUCUGGACUCAUGCCGAAACAAUGGAGCGGGGCUUACUUCGAGGCAUCUGCGCUGUCGGUGCAUGGCCGCCUCUGCCAUGACUAUGUGCCGGAGGUUUACCACCUUGACUGGUGGAUACACCCUGCCAUUGAGCUGAGUUAGAUUAUUCUCCCAGGUGUGUCCUGCACCCUUGGCCUUCCUCUUCCGCCUAUGCUCCCUAUCAGUAGUUUCCAAGUCAUUAGUCUCUAUUGUGAUUAAUCCAAGGUGUUGCCAUCACGCAAUAGUUGAACAAUGUUAACCUAUGCAGAUAUGAACCAGCUAUAGAUAUUCCUUCCCACUUUCACAAUCCAGCCUAACCAAUCCUUGGUUCCCAAUUUAGCAACAAUUCAGCAUUGUCCCCCUUUCAGAAUUAGGUCACCACAGUGGUAAUUUUCUUUCACUAAUAAGAUAGGUAAUGUCAUACACGUUUCAUACAAAUUGUACCGUAUGUGUAGGUGCCUUCUAUUUUUUUCAUCUCCCGUUGCAACGCACGGGCAUGUGUGCUAGUUAAAUUAAAUAUACAAUUGUUCUAAAUACUUUCAGACCAUUUCAGAUAUAAUUCAACAUCCCCGGAAACAUGUUAAACCUAUAUAUAUUUAUCGGUAAUACCCGGUAUUACCCCAUACACUCUGAAACCCUUCCGAUGAUCCUGAAACGCUUCCGGAUCUUUUCGGAACUAUUUCCAAUAUUAAUGAAACAAUUCCACAAAUAUAUUCCCAUCAAUCCGUCCUACUAACACUCAACAGAUCGUGAUUUCCUUAAGCUUGUGACCCCGUAGGUUCGGUAACUCAUAGACAUGAAUGAAACCAUUCGUUCAAUGACCGACACCGGAACCGUGGACGUCCAUAUCGAUCCCUAUGAGCACACGAAUGAUAUUCAAGUGAACCUUUGGUUUAUCAUGUGAUGUUCCAUUUGCUUCAUGAUACUUCACAAAACCCGAUAUGUAUUGGUAUCGUCCUGAGUCAUCACCAUCCUCACUAUAUCAAAAUCCUCGUUACCGGUUUUGUUCUUCUUUCUCGUUAUUGUGUUCUGGCAUCCCCGUGACAUAGUCACCUGUAUGUGGCCAAGCGAUGAUGGAUGCUAUCACACCGACAUGGCCCUAAUAACAUAUCUCCAUCAUACCAAAACCAUAUAGAAUUGUUGUAAACAUGGCAUGACUACUUCAUAAAUUAUAGAUACGUUGGAGACGUAUCAGCCACCAUACCUUAACUCAUGCAAUUAUUUAUACCCAUGCAUAUACUAUCAUCUCUCGACUGGUUCGCAACGCUCACUCUUGCCGCUAACAAAGAAAACAGCCCCGCUCACUUGAGAAUGGGCCACAAAGACUCUAAGACGCAGUUGGGCCACAUGUAGAUUGAGCAAGAACCCAGUGCUACUGACGAUGUGCAUCCAUGGGGUGCAAAUUGCAAGACCAAGAUGCACAUGCUUCACUCCAAAACCUAGCUAGGGUGGCAGCGGCUGGCUAGGACGCCAAGAACUAGUGAACAACAUGAUAGUAGACGACAGAUGGGGGCCUCGAGCAAGCAGGUGGUUGGGUGCAACUGUGACUGCCCGAGACCGAUGCUCCAGAUACCUCCCGCUAUUUUUGUUGUGGCCGCAUUAAUUAUUUGGUUGUGGCAUUCAUCAUCGCAUCAUUCGCAUUGCAUCAGCACUCCGUUGCCGUCAUUUUUUCAAAACUUGCAUUCGUCCAUAGUUGCCGCUUCUCUCCAUUGUCUUCAUUUACCGUUCCGAGUCUAACCACACACUUGCACGCGCCAGCGACAUCGUUAAAUAAUUAUUGUCAAAAAGGGAUUAAAACAUUCUCAGAACAGGUUCAAAGUUGGCGUGCGGUCUUAAUAUAUGGUUUUGUAUUGUUCUUUUCAACCUUCACUUCAUUCCUAUCAUUUUUAUCAUUUCAGAGUUUCUUCUUGAAGGUUCUUCAUGGUGGUUUGUGAACGAUUUCUUUCAUUCUCAAAGUGCCCUUCAAGAUUCUCCUCGAAGUUAAGAUCUACCAAGCUAUACUCGAAAAUAAACAUGGUGUUCAACACAUGUUUUGUUUUGAGGAGUUCAAGCAUGUUUCAUCUUCCAUUCAAGUGUGCAAAUCCUUUCUACCUUGUCUUUCGAGCUGAUCUUAUGUCAUUAUUGACAAAUUUCCCUUCGUGUUUCAUGAUUCAUAGGUUGUAAAGAAUGAGAUACUAAACCCACCAUUUUCUCUUUGUUCAGGAGAUCCUUUCAACCCAUCAAUCUCUUCGUUGGAGUUAUCUUGGGUUGAUUUCACCUAAAGCCUUCCCUAAGGAAUGUUGCUAUUGUGGUGCAUAUUUGUGAUCCAGGUUUUCUCUCUAUCCUCUCGGUGAAAGUUUUGCAUCUCUUUGUUGCUCUCAAGCAUCAUAUUUUCAGCAAAUGGCAGGCUUUAACCUCAAAAAUUUAAAAUGUUUCCAUAAGGCAUUUGAAGCAUAUCUGUUGCUUGUUGAUUCUUUCACCAAUUACCUUCAAGUCUUCUUCGCAAGGAUGCUCUUUAAUGUUCUAUUGCGUUAGAAGAUGUUGGUUUCUCCUCCGUUCUUUUCAUCCCAAGUAUCUAACUCAAUUUCUUUUGCUAAGGAAGCAUUGUGUUGGUGCUCUUUCCCAAGUUCCCUCCAUGUUGCCAACUUCAUGUUCUGUCUAUCACUUAUCUUUUAACCAGAGUCACAUACAGUUGCCUCCAUUUUCUCAAGUUCAUGUUCUAUGCCUUUCUUUUCUUCAACCGGAGUGGUUUCAAAUUCUUUCUCAUCCUUGAUGCCAUCUAUUAUCUCUUUGCAACCUCGUCUCACUCAUUUGUCACAUAAGCAGCUUUAUUUUACCUCUUUCUCUUCCUCUUCCUCUUCCUCUUCUCAUUCCUUGAUCUCAGGGAGAGAUCUCUUGUAAGUGGGGGAGAGUUGUGAUAGCCCGAGACCGACGCUCCAGAAGCCUCCCGCUAUUUUCGCUGUAGCCGCAUUAAUUAUUUGGUUGUGCUAUUAAUCAUCACAUCAUUUGCAUUGCAUCGGCACUCCGUUGCCAUCAUUUUUUCAAAACUUGCAUCCGUCCGUACUUGCCACUUCUCUCCGUGGUCUUCAUUGAUCGUUCCGAGUCCAACCACACACUUGCACGUGCCCCAACAUCGUUAAAUAAUUAUUUUCAAAGUGGGAUUAAAAUGUUCUCGGAAUGGGUUGAAAGUUUACGUGUGGUCUUAAUAUUAUGUAGGUAGACCACCUGCCAAAUUUUCUCGCAUUCAAAAGUCGUUUGGUACCCCAACCUUUAAACUAGAGGCACUAUAUGUGGAUAAACAUAGGACGUUUUAAUAAUAAAACGUGUUGCCGGGCUACCCUAUUUCCCUCUCAUCUCGGCCCAACAAAUCUACAUAGCCCACCUAAACCUACCCUAACCACCCUCCGCUCCAAAGCCUUCCGAUUGUGAUCGGAGGGCUAGAAAAACCCCACAAAACCCUCAACCCUCGCCAUCCCUGCCUAUUUAAGCAACCGCUACCCUACCUAAUUUGCAACCCUACCCCUCUUCCGCAUUUUCCAUGCGCAGCCUCUCCACCGCCGCCACUUGUCCACCUUCUCCAUCCUCCAGCCGCCGUGGCCCUGUGAACCGAUCAUGGACCCGCUUGAACCCAUCGGGGCCCGAGCCAGCUCACGCGCCGCCACCAUUAGUGCUCGCCUCCGCAGCUCGCGCCCGAGCUCCUCUCACCAUGCCGCCUGCUCACCCUCGCGGGAGAUCUCCUGUUGACCGAUGAGCUGCCAGAGACCGCAACCGGAACAGGCCGACCUCGCCGCCUCCUCUCCUUUCUCCUCCAUUUCUCUCCAUUUCCACUCUAACCCUCUCUCUAUUGCAGUCAUGGAUAGGCGCCAUGGACGCCACCCAAGCUCGGAGCUCAUGCCGCCACCUUGCCUCGCUGCCGCCUCGGGCCAGAUCCGGCGGCCAUGGCCCCUCCCGCGGCCGGAUCCUGCCCGAUCUGCCCACCUGCGCCGCUCCCCUACUGUUCGUCGACCCCGCCGCCGCGCCGAACCGUCGCCAUGGCCUCUGCUUCGCCCGCUGGUACGCCCUCAUCUCAGGAUCCGCCAAGCCUUCCAACCAAAGAACAUCUGGAACCGCUCCAUCCUAGUUUUCCUGUGAGGUCGAAUUUUUCCUUGUCCUCAGAUUUUUCACAUCAGAUUGCAUUUUGUGAUGAUGGUAACUUUGUGCAUGUUUGUCCGAUGGAAAUGAUCUUUCUAUGAAAACUGAUCUACUCUUUGUGGGCUUAAUGAUGGUUGCAUUUGCAUCCUUCAUAGGAUUCAUCUACAUGUUGUAAUCUCUGUUGCAAAAGUGCAUCAUGUCGUAAUCUACAUAAAAUUGUUAAAACAUUCAAACUUACGUUGAUCCUUGCCACCAAUCCAUAACUCAUAAGCAUAUGAUUCCUUAAGGUGUUUUCCACUAUGAAAUGUUUAUUUUAAUGCGAUGCCCAUGGAUGCCAUGUCAAUUUUCUUUAGCAUGUCUAUUUCUUGCUCUUAAGUGGCUAUCAUGGUAUAAAUACAUUCUUAUUAACACAAAGUUCCAUUUUGUAAAAAUCAUAGUAAUUAAUAAAUUCAUCCUAUGAAUUUGUGCCUAUGAAGUAAAAUGAACAUUGCAAUGUAUAAUGCAUGUACAUAUAUUAUUCAUAAAUAUUGAAAUUGGUUUACUUAAUGUUUAGUGCAUCUCAUUCAGCAUCAUAAUUUUACUGUUUUGGAAAUCCCGGAUUUUCCCGAAGUCCUAGAACUUAGCAAAACAUUGAAUUUUGCAUAAAUCAUAUUAAAUUAACCAUGAUGCCUAUGAACCCGAACCUUAUAUGAAAAUUGUAGCAUGUUCAAGCAACAAUAAAUGCAGAUCCUUUUCAUAUGUUUUAACAACAUGCAUAUUGAUGUUCCGUUGCUCCCAAGUAGGCAUCUUGCUGUUUUGGCAGAUUACAAUCAACACAAGUUGUUCAGGUAUGUGAUAGAUUAUGUUAUAUGUAUCCAGUUUACUUGAUACUGUUCAUGUAAACAUACAUGCAUCUAAAAUUGUAAUUGUUUCAUUCUAGGCAAUGUAUUUGGUUACAGAUAUGGGAACACAUUUGAUUAACUAAAGAAAUGAUGGUUGUGAUCCACUCUUAUAAGAUGCCAAAGCCUUUUGCACCAAAAAUGGCAUUCAGAUACUAAAUAUGGAUGCCAUCUUUAUUAAAUGGGGGAAAAUCAAGAAAAGGUGGGACAAACAGUGUCACUAUUGAUCAUUUCUUCCAUGUGGUGACCUUCUAUGAUGUUAUAGACUCCAUCGCCACAAAGGUUGAUCAUCAUUUUAAUGAGGUAUCUUCAAAGUUGCUCUAGGACUUCUCUUGUCUUGACCAUAGAGACUCGUUUUCUAGGUUCAAUGUGAAAAAGCCUGAGACUCACUUAGAUUUAUCAAGAGUAUUUCUCAUAGUAUGAACGUGAACCUAUAGAAGAUAACCUUGAGUUAUUCAUUAUUCGUACGAGAAGAAUUGAAAACAUGUCAUGAUAUUGCAAGCUUGGCUAGAAAGAUAGUUGAACUUGAAUGAUACAACAUGUUUCCUAUGAUUUAUCUCCUCAUUGAGUUGGCAUUGCUAGUACCAGUAGUGACGAAAACAAUUACAAGAGCCUUCUCAGCAACGAAAAUCCUUAAGACCGAGUUGAGCAACAUGAUGUCCGGUGGUUGGCACUGCUAUUCGGUGGUGUGUUACAUUGAGCGAAGAGGGAUAUUCAAAAGUCUUCAUCAUGGUAAAUUAAGAAAGAUUUUCAAAAAGAUGGUAGGGCAUUACCAUUGCCUGGGUCUUCUAGACAUCAUUGAAAGUUUCAUUAUUGGUAUGUUUUCGAUUAAAGAGUAAAAUUUCUUGCUGUGUUGCGUUAGUGGGAUUUGAUAUGCCUCGUCGAGAAUAGCUAUGUUUUGAACAUGAUUGAGAUUUAUCAUAUUUGGUGAGAACUGCUAAAAAUGGGAUGAUUUCUAUGCAUGUUUAUGAAUCUCGGAGGAUUAUAAACAAAAUCUAACACUAGUGUUUGAUAUUUUUAAUAGCUAGAUACAUAUUUUUUAGUUGUUUGGAUUUACAUCUUUGAGGUUAGCUAUAGUUGGUUUUUUAGCAAAAGCUAUAGUUGGUAAAAUUUAUAAGAAUAAUAUCCCAAAUCAAGGGUAAUUAUUUUGGUAUUGAUUAACAGCUAUACAUGGGCCGAAAAUGUACAAUGGUGGUCUACACGCGUCAUGUACAUCUAUAUGACAAUGAACCCUCAAACAAAUCUCUCUUCUUUUGACAAAAAUAAUCAAUUUAUGAUGUAGCAGUAAUUUGACAACUAAAAAAUGACCCAGGUCAACAAAAAAUGGUCGGGUUUCCGUGGUGCGUGUCAUGAUUUUAAGAUCAACGGUCCAUGCAUGUUGUCAUGAUCCAAUAUUAAUUUAUCGCCAAGAUCUUUGGAGAUUUUCUCUUUUCUAUAGUCACUACUAAUUAUAGGGAUUAAUAAUAUCUAUCUUUAGAGUUGCCGAUGCUCUUUUUAUACUCUAACCUCACAGAUUUCGUUUCACAUCAUAUCCGUACGAGUUUUCCUCGCCUUCGUUGAUCUUAACUAGCAAAUCCUAACCUUAGACACAAGUGGGUAAUAUUUGUCAAGCCGAGUGACACCACGGAGACCAUGGAUGUCAAGUACCACAACGGCUUCGUCAAGAAGGUGAGGCAGGCGGCCAUUGUGCCGGCAGUGGAAGGGGUGAAGUACAAGGAGUGCGGCAGGAAUCAUGCGCUGACUAGUGGUGGGCACGUCGUGGACGGCUGCGGGGAGUGAAUACCGUUGGGGGACCUCAACCUCGCUGACGCGUCGUCAUACAAGUGCACGACAUGCGGAUGACACCACAACUUCCACCGCAAGGUGAUGAUGGAGAGGUCACCGCCGUUGUCGCCCAUAGCAAGAACCGUCAUAGUAGUUGAGCCUAACUGCAAAAAACGCUAACAUAAAAAAACUUGGCAUGGUAGCUGAAAAAUGUCCCUUGGUAGACGAAAAACGUCUAACACUGGUGUGUGAUGCUGGUGGGAGGAGACGGGAAGGUCCGACAGCGGAGGAGAAUGCAUCAGAGGUGUUGUGGCCGUUGGGUUACUUGCGCUUAUUUUUGUGCCUCCAGUUCCUGAAGACGUCCUUACUGAUGCCAUUGUCAUGGCACCUCGCUUCAAUGAUGUCCUUAUCGCGCUUCUCCCGGCGCCACCCUAGGUGCUUCGACAGCUCCUGCAUGCGCAUCUUCUGGUAGGCAGUGAACAUGGUGCGGGACCACUUCCACGCCGACAUAACCACAUGGGGCGGUGGUGCCGUCACCGGCGAGAGCUGGGCGGGGAGCCUCUGGAUCUGCAGUGCCCCCAGCGGGCGGCUGUGUCAUGGAGAAAAGAUGUACGUAGGCAGCUGCUAUGCCAUCGGUGUCGGAGGAUACACAGUUGGAGGCUGAUGUGGUGGGGAGAUGGAGCUCGUCGUCAUACUCCGUGGCAUCCGAGUCAUACUCCGUGCCAUCCGAGUCGGUGUCAGAGUCUGUGACCGGGAGCCAGUCCUCCGGUGUCUGCUCCUCCUCGCGCUACGGCUGGCCAUGGAGUACGAUUGCAGCCAUGGGCGGUAGCAGCAGCAACCUCUCCAUCAUCACCUCGCGGUGCAAGCUGUAGUGGGAGCCACAUGCCGCCCAUUUGUAUGACGAUGCGUCGGUGGGGUUCAGGUCCCCAUACGGCAUCCACUCCCCGCAGCCGUCCACGACUUGCCCACUGGUAGCCAGCGCGUGGUUCCUACUACACUCCUUGUACUUCACCCCUUCCACCGCCAAUGUCACGACCGCCUGCCUCACCUUCUUGACGAAGCCCUUAGGGUACUUGAUGUCCAUGGCCCCCUUGGUAUCACUCGGCUUCACAAAGAUUACCCACUAGUGUCUAAGGCUUGGAUUUACUAGUUAGGAUCAACGAAGGCGAGGAAAACUCGUAAGGAUAGGAUGCGAAACGAAGUCUGUGAGUUUAGGGUAUAAAAAGAGCAACAAUGACUCUAAUGACAGAUAUUAUUAAUCCAUGUAAUUAGUAGUGACUAUAGAAAAGAGAAAAUCUCGAAAGACCGUAGUGAUAAAUUAAUAUUGGAUCAUGACAACGUGCAUGGACCGCUGAUCAUAAAAUCAAGACAGGCACCAUAGAAACCUAACCAUUUUUUGUUUGACCUUGCUCAUUUUUUAGUUCUCAAAUUACUGCUACAUUGUCAAUAGAUUUUUUUGUCAAAAAUAGCUUUUUGCAGGGAUCUUCGUCACAUAGAUGGACAGGACGCGUGUAGACCACCAUUGUACAUUUUUUGCCCAUGUAUAGUUAUUAAUCAAUACAAAAUAUAAUUACCCUGGAUUUGAGAUGUUAUCCUAUAUAACAACCACCCCCACUAAUCUAUUUAUCUUGACAUGCAGCAUAUCGGCCUCAACAUGUAUGCCCCACAUGUGCCACCAUCUGCCACGUCAGCGACUCUUUACAUGCAGCGUUCAGUUACCAAUGUGCAGAACCGACUGUCCACCUGCCUUCUGUCCGUUUCCACUUUCCAGCCAUAAAUCGUGGAUGCCUCUCUCCCUCCCUCGGAAAUAAACACAAACCGAUCGACCUCUCUCCCCCAGAAAAAUUGACGCCAGUUUUCUCCUUGGCUACAGGUGCAGCAGGUCUGCAGGUGGGAGCCGAUCUGUGCAUCAAGGGUCCUCCCAUGGCACGUCCGUUGGUGCUGCUCGCCUCCGCGGUUCUCUAAAAUUCUCUAUGGUAUGAUCCCCCUUGGCCCUUGUAGGUUUGGUGCCAUAUGUGCCCUAGUCCUCCCCUCCCGUGUGUGUCUCUAUUCAGGCUAAGACAGCUUCGGCGUAAUUGGGGAGGUCAGUACCGGCCGGUUCCAAUAGAAUCGGACCAGCUAUAGGUGAGUUUCCAAUCUGAAGAUCGCUUUCUUUUCAUCCUGUAAAGAAUGAAUUGGACGAUGCCGGACAGAGCCUCACCCAUGGCGUGGAGGGGUUAUUAAUACAUAUAUUUGCCUUGAAGGAACGCCCAGUGUACCCGAGUCCAAUCAGGUCACCAUGCCAUCAAAUUUUCAAUAUUUUUCCUUCUCAUGCUAGAGGGAACGCAUUGGUGUGACGAAGCAGGGCCUCAGCCAUGGCGUUGAGGUUUUUCUUUUGGCUUGGAAGGAACGCCCAGUGUGCAGGAGUCCUUUCAUCUCAAUUUAGAACUCUGAUGUUUCUAACAGUAUGCAAGUUUCUAAAUUGCUCCAUUGAAUAGAUUAGUAUACAAAGUGCUCUUCCCAUCAGGUUAUUCUCAGCCAUGGUGUGGAUAUUUUUAUUUUGGCCUAGAAGGAACGCCUAGUGUACAUGUGUCCUUUCCUGUGAAUUUAAAACUAUGAUAUUUCUAUUAGUAUACAAGUUUGUACAUUGCUCCAUUGAGCAGGUUAGCAUACAAAGUGCUCUUCCCAUCAGCUUAUUAUAUAUGUAAGUGCUACAAUUUCAAUCCAUCAUUCGGUAUGCCUUUAAUUGGCAAAGUUUAUGAUAGAUAUAGAAGCAUCCGAAUUUAAUAUCUUCGUAUCUUAAAUAUGUUAGAAUUUUAGCUGCUAUUUUAUUUGUGAAACACAUAUAAGUAGAUUCAUGUUGACCGAUUCAUAUAAUGAUUUGCUAAUGUGGCCAAAUAAGUUAUUUCAUGCAGUACAUUCUGCGUGCUUCUUUACAUAUUGUUGUUAAUUAAUUGCCCUAAGAGAUCUUGAUUUUGCAUUUGUAUAAAUUUUUCUUGCCUGCUGCAUCCUGCCCAUUUGGAGAUGGUAAAAUAACUUAUUAUGGAGCCAAUCUAUUUUGUAAUUGUGCAUGUUUAGUGUUCAGUACAGCUGUUUCAAUACAUUAGGAUACGUCAAUUUUCACAGUCGAAAAAAUACUCUUUAAUGUUUCCCUUAGUUUUGUUACAACAUCUCCAUAAGAUAUACAUGAUUUUGGUUAGUCCAUUCCACAUUUUCUGCCAUAGGUAUUGGAAAUUUAAAUAUGGUUAUUUUGUUGAUGCAAUUCCAAAUUAAUUGCGGUGGUUAUUUGUAUCGAUCCCAAGUCUAACUGAACAUAGUUCCUUUUUGUAGGUAACUUCUGUAGCUAACAUUUAACAUUCAUACUGGUGAGGAUGGUUUCUUCAUAUAUGGAGUGUUAAGGAUAAGACACCGGAUAUCACCGAAACAUAUUACAACAAUUUCAUGCAGCAACGCGCGGGGUAUUAUUUAGUUCUUAUAAAUCUUACCAACUAUAGCUUUUGCUAAAAAAACAACUAUAUAGCUAACCUCAAAGAUGUAAAUCCAAACAACUAAAAAAUAUCAAACCCCGGUGUCAGGUUUUGCUUAUAACCCUUCGAGAUUCAUAAACGAGCAUAAAAAUCAUCCCUUUUUUGUCAUUAAUCACCAACUAUGAUAAGUCUCAAGCAUGUGCAAAACAUAGCCAAAAAUAAUUUCGACGGGGCAUAUCAAAUCCCACUAACGCAACACAGCGAGAAUUCUUACUCAAUAAUGUGAAACAUACCGAUAAUGAAACUUUUAGUGAUGUCUAGAAGACCUAGGAAAUGGCAAUGCCCUGUCAUCUUUCUGAAAAUCAUUCUUAAUUUUGCCACGAUGAAGACUUUUGAAUAUCCCUCCUCGGUCAAUGUAACACACCAUCAAAUAGUUAAGCCAGCCACCGGACAUCAUAUUGCGCAAGUCGGUCUUAAUGAUUUUCGUUGUUGAGAAGGCUCUUUCAAUUAUUGUAGUCACUACUGGUACUAGCAAUGCCAACUCAAUGAGGCGAUAAAUCAUAGGAAACAUGAUGUAUUGUUCUAGUUCAACUAUCUUUUUAUCCAGGCUCUUGAUAAAUCUCUAUGAGUCUCAAGCUUUUUCACAUUGAACCCAGAAAAUGAGUCUCUAGGGUCAAGACAAGAGAAGUUCUAGAGCAGCUCUGAAGAUACCUCAUAAAAAUGAUGAUCAGCCUUUGUGGCGAUGGAGUCUAUAGCAGCAUAGAAGGUGUUCACAUGGAAAAAAUGAUCAAUAGUGACAUUGUUUGUCCCACCUUUUCUUGAUUUUCCCCAUUUAAUAAAGAUGGCAUACAUAUUUAGUAUCUGAAUGCCAUUUUUUGGUGCAAAAGGCUAUAACAUCUUAAAAGAGUGGAUCCCAACCAUCAUUUCUUCAUUCCCAUAUCUGUAACCAAACACAUUGCCUAGAAUGAAACAAUUACAAUUUUGGAUGCAUGUAUGUUUACAUGAACAGAAUAUCAAGCAAACUGGAUACAUAUAACAUAAUCCAUCACAUACCUGAACAACUUAUUCAACAACCAAAACCCAACUUGGACAAGACAACAUGACCAAAUUUAUCAUCCCAUCGGCCGUGCAUAAAAAGAUAUCAACCUAAUGAAUAAGUCAUAUACUUUUGUGCACCAUAUUCCAACCAAACAAAGGCUACAUUACGUAGUUUCACAUAUGAACCAAGAUGUCAUCCAUAUUUGUUUUCCUAAAUCUACAACACAAUCACUACUAACUACAAUUGCAUAAUACAAGUUGUUUAAAAUUCAUAGAAAUAUACCUCUGACUCUCCCCUUUUCCAUUGGCUUUUUCUAGCCCCUUACCUCUCUAUCUUCUGUCGGGUGUUGGCAACAAACACAACAAGGCACUGCACCAUACCGAUCAUGAAGGAUGUGAAGCUUGCUUCCACUACCUGCUCGGCCCCACCCUCAAUCGACACUCGUUGCGCAGUACACCCUACACAGUUGCACCCAACCACCCGCUUGCUCGAGGCCCUUAUUUGUCGUUAACUGUCAUGUUGUGUGAUGGUAUGUGGCGUCCUAGCCCGCCGCCACCCUAGCUAGGUUUUGGAGUGAAGCAUGUGCGUCUCGGUCUUGCGAUUUGCGCCCCAUGCAUGCGCAUCGUCAGUGGCACUGGGUUCUUGCUCAAUCUACAUGUGGCCCAACUGCGUUUUAGAAUCUUAGUGGCCCAUUCUCAGGUGAGCGGGGCUCUUUUGUCUGUUAGAGGCAAGAGUGAGCAUAUGUAGAAAUAAUUGCAUCGUGUUAAGGAAUGGUGGGAACAAGACGUUGCUCACUAGAGUCCUCCGCCGUCGAGUAGAUGGCUAUGCGUCUGAUACGUCUCCAACAUAUCUAUAAUUUUUUAUUGCUCCAUGCUAUAUUAUCUUCUGUUUUGGACAUUAUUGGGCUUUAUUAUUCACUUUUAUAUUAUUUUUGGGACUAACCUAUUAACCGGAGGCCCAGCCCAGAAUUGCUGUUUUUUGCGUAUUUCAGAGUUUUGCAGAAAAAGAAUAUCAAACGGAGUCCAAACGGAAUGAAACCUUCGGGACGUGAUUUUUGGAACGAACAUGAUCCAGGAGACUUGGACCCUACGUCAAGCAACCAACAGGGAAACCACGAGGUAGGGGGGCGCGCCAACCCCCCUAGGGCGCGCCCUCCACCCUCGUGGGCCCCCUGUUGCUCCACCGACGUACUUCUUCCUUCUAUAUAUACCUACGCACCCCCAAACGAUCAGAUACGGAGCCAAAAACCUAAUUCCACCGCCACAACCUUCUGUACCACGAGAUCCCAUUUUGGGGCCUGUUCCGGAGCUCCGCCGAAAGGGGCAUCGAUCACGGAGGGCUUCUACAUCAACACCAUAGCCCCUCCGAUGAAGUGUGAGUAGUUUACCUCAGACCUUCGGGUCCAUAGUUAUUAGCUAGAUGGCUUUCUCUCUUUUUGGAUCUCAAUACAAUGUUUUCCCCCUCUCUCGUGGAGAUCUAUUCGAUGUAAUCUUCUUUUGCGGUGUGUUUGUUGAGACCGAUGAAUUGUGGGUUUAUGAUCAAGUUUAUCUAUGAACAAUAUUUGAAUCUUCUGAAUUCUUUUAUGUAUGAUUGGUUAUCUUUGCAUGUGUCUUCGAAUUAUCAGUUUGGUUUGGCCUACUAGAUUGAUUUUUCUUGCAAUGGGAGAAGUGCUUAGCUUUGGGUUCAAUCUUGCGGUGUCCUUUCCCAGUGACAGUAGGGGCAGCAAGGCACAUAUAGUAUUGUUGCCAUCGAGGAUAACAAGAUGGGUUUUUUAUCAUAUUGCAUGAAUUUAUCCCUCUACAUCAUGUCAUCUUGCUUAAGACGUUACUCUGUUCAUAUGAACUUAAUACUCUAGAUGCAUGCUGGAUAGCGGUCGGUCUGUGGAGUAAUAGUAGUAGAUGAAGGAAGGAGUCGGUCUACUUGUCUCGGACGUGAUGCCUAUAUACAUGAUCAUACCUAGAUAUUCUCAUAACUAUGCUCAAUUCUGUCAAUUGCUCAACAGUAAUUUGUUCACCCACCGUAAAAUACUUAUGCUCUUGAGAGAAGCCACUAGUGAAACCUAUGGCCCCCGGGUCUAUCUUCAUCAUAUUAAUCUUUCAACACUUAGUUAUUUCCUUUGCUUUUAUUUUACUUUGCAUCUUUAUCAACAAAAUUCUAAAAAUAUUAUCCUAUCAUAUCUAUCAGAUCUCACUCUCGUAAGUGACCGUGUAGGGAUUGACAACCCCUUAUCACGUUGGUUGCGAGGAUUUAUUUGUUUUGUGUAGGUGAGAGGGACUCGCGCAUAGCCUCCUACUGGAUUGAUACCUUGGUUCUCAAAAACUGAGGGAAAUACUUACGCUACUUUGCUGCAUCACCCUUUCCUCUUCAAGGGAAAACCAACGCAGUGCUCAAGAGGUAGCAGCGUCUAGCGAACAUUGGGAGAGCCUAUCAAUACUGAUCCACCUCGACGCCACCCCGCCGACAAUCAUCAUCGAGUAGAAGCCGCAACCAGACAUCGGUGAUGAAGAUGGUGGCCGACAACAUAAAGGUGGACGAAGAUGAGGUCUCCGGUAGCCUCUGGACACAAAGGAUCAACAGCUCGUAUACACAAAGGAUCAUGUAGAACAACAUGCGCCGAAGAGGAAUAAGCCCCUUGAAUGGGUGGUGGCCUCCUUAUAGAAGCUGAAGCAACGCUAAAAACCUGACUGCCGGGGAUUUGCAUCUGAAGACCGAAAGUGGGCCUCCAAGAAAGGAGGUUGAGAUGGACGUCUUCCUCUGCAUGCACAGGGAUUUGACAGACUCCCCACUAGUUUGAUUUGUAGAUUUGGUUGAGAAAAUCUUGAACUCAAAUGAGGAGAAAUGAUGCCUGUUCAUUAAAGAAGAAAGAAUAUGCACCUAUUCGAAAGGACCAUGCAUGCUUUUGUUUCUAGGAAACAAAAAAUGAAGCACGAGAUCUCUGUUCAGGGUUUUAUGUGUCUCUGGAUAUCGGGUAGGGAUAAAAUGGCAGGUGAUUAAGGGAUAGGGUAAGGGCAACGAUCCAGUGAGAUCCUAGACACAACCCUUGGCCGACAUCUUGGCACCACCGCGGUGCCAAGAAUAAAAAAGUAUGAAGAAAUCACUCAAAGGGAAGGGGGUUAUUUAGAAGGGCAUGUUCAGGACGAACCCAACAGAAGCCAUCGACGAGAAAGCCCAUGACAAAGACCAUGCUGAGGACGACCAUGAGAGGAGCUUAACGGCGCCUCCACUCACUGAGGAACACCCGGAUCUAUCCAUUAAGGACGCAACCACUCUAAGAAACAAACCUACAACUAUAAAACAGUAGCGGGACCCCCCUCUCACACCUCACCGGUAUGGGGAUGUGACGCCCGGAUAAUUAGGCUACAGUAAUCCCACGUUAAUGAUGCCACGUCACCACCGUUACUGUUGUUAAUCUCACUUCGAUUCAGAUCCCGUCCAAACUCAAAUUUAAAUUGCAAGACAAAAUUUUAUUUCUUCAAAUAAUAGAAUAAAAAUGUUCGUCAGGAUGCAAAUAUUCACCAACUAAUUUUCAUGUUGAAACCAACUUCAUUUGUAUCACAAAUAAACUCCUAGAAAAUUAAUAAGAUGUCCAAUAGAAAUUAAAAUAAGCAAUUAAAUAUAAACCUAAUUAUACUUUUUAAAUGUCCCCAAACUCGUGAGCCACUCCAGAUUUAUUGCCUUUGAUUUAUAUGUGAGAUCUAAUAUGUAACAAAAAAAUCAUUUGAUGUCAAAAGAAAUACAAAACAGUAAAGACAAAUUAGAAAAAACGGAAAAGUAAGAAAAGGAGUAUAACUUACUGGUUGGUCUGGGCCGUAAGUGUACAGUGGUUGCCCAGCCCAACAGGAGACACCUCCUACCGCUCUGCCUGCGUGUCGCCAAGACUGCCCUCGGAUGCCUCUCUACCGGCUGAUGCUCGACGCGUGCUGCUACAGGGGAUCGAGCAGAGGAUAAGAAGGCCCCAGGAACCCUUGACCGAACCCUAGGCCAUCCCUUUCCCCUCGCACCCCACACGCUCUCCCUCCCGAGCUCAGCCGCUCGCUGCCGUCACCGUGUCGACGUCGAUGCCGCGCAAGCUUCCCCAUGGCGCCAGAAGAUGUCCAGGAGACGGGCCUCUUCGUAUUCGUUCUCUACGUGAACCUACUCGAGCUGGAGCACCCUGGAGCCGCCGCCAUCGACCCAUCCCCUUCGGCCAUGGACUCCCGCGCCGCCGUUCGAUCCGUUCGCCUCCGACCACCUCGUGCCACCCCGAGCUCGUCAAUGCGUUCACUGUGAGCUUGCGCACCUCCUCUCCCUCUUCAUCUGCUCACGCGCGUACUCUAGUCGCGGGUUCGUGUAGCACCACCUUCGUCACCGCCGCGGACCACUCCGACCACGCAUGUCCGCGGCCGCCUUCCCCUGACCGUUCCCCGCGCCGCCCUGGCCGCGAGCACGCCGCGACCCGCGCCCCCCUGCGCCUGCCGGCGUGUGCUCGCCGCGGCCCGCACAACCACCUCUUCCCAACCGCGCCCUCUCCUCCUUGUUGCUGAUGCGCCAUGCUCGCCCCGCCUCAGUUGCCUGCUGCCGUCCUAGCCCCCCGCUCCUGGCGUUCCUCCGCCCCCUGCCGCUGCCCCCAAUCUCCCGCUGCUGCUGCCUCCCUCCUGUGUCGGCGCUCUGCUCCUGCGCCCGCGCCGGACGACCCGAGCUCACCGUCCCGCUGCACCCACCGCGCCGUCCGCCGCCCGCGUCCUCCACGGUCCAGACCACGGCCCCGGCCGCGCCAGCGCCAGCCGGCUGCAUCGGUCGCGCCUGCCUGGCCCCCGCUCUGACCUCGCCCCGCUACCGGGCGGGCGGCGGCUUCGCCCGCACUGCCCGUUCGGGUUGCUCCCAGCGCCCGUUAGGCCUUGGGGCCUAUGCCAGGGGACCCCACCCCCAGAACGUUUUUGAUAAAAAAAAGUUAUUAAUUAAAAACAAAUUAAUAGUAAUAAUUAAAAUUAAUUAAUUAAUUAACCCUGAUCAAUUAACCUAAUCAGCUCAUUAAAUUGACUAAUCUGUUAAUUAGACUAACUAACUAGGUUAAUUAGCUAACAACCUAUGACAUGCGGGACCCAUGCGUCAGUUUGACCAAGUCAACUAAUUGUUGACUGCUGACAUCACCCUGAUGUCAUGCUGACGUCAUAAUGGCAUUUUCUUAUUAAAUUAAUUCUGUUAAUUCUAAAAAUAAUUAAAACUUUAGAAAAUCAUAUAAAAUAAUCCGUAACUCGGAUGAAAAAGCUUUGUACAUGAAAGUUGCUCAGAACGACGAGACGAAUCCGGAUACGUAGCCCGCUCAUCCGCCUCACAUCCCUAGCAUAGUGAACCUGCAACAUUUCACCUCCGGUUCAUCUGUCCGAAAAAGCGAAACACCGGGAAUACUUUCCCGGAUGUUUCCCCCUUUCGCCGGUAACACCUACUACCACGUUAGGGCACAUCUAGCACUGCAUUUGUUAUGUUAUGCUUUGUGAUGCUUUGACUGCUCUGUUAUUUAUUGUGUUCCCCCUCCGUUACUUCUUUCCGAUAGACCCCGAGACCGCUGCCGGUACCCCUGUGAUCGACUACAUCGACGACGAACCCUUCUCUUGCCAGAUGAACCAGGCAAGCCCCCCCCCUUGAUCACCAGAUAUCGCCUAUUCUUCUCUAUACUGCUUGCAUUAGAGUAGUGUAGCAUGUUACUGCUUUCCGUUAAUCCUAUCCUGAUGCAUAGCCUGUCAUUGUUGCUACAGUAGUUACCCUUACCUGCUAUCCUACUGCUUAGUAUAGGAUGCUAGUGUUCCAUCAGUGGCCCUACACUCUUGUCCGUCUGCCGUGCUAUACUACUGGGCCGUGAUCACUUCGGGAGGUGAUCACGGGUAUAUACUAUAUACAUUAUAUACAUGACACAUGUGGUGACUAAAGUCGGGUCGGCUCGAGGAGUACCCGCAAGUGAUUCUGAUGAGGGGGCUGAAAGGAUAGGUCGCUCCACCCCGAUAGAGGUGGGCCUGGGUUCCUGACGGCCCCCGACUAUUACUUUAUGGCGGAGCGACAGGGCAGGUUGAGACCGCCUAGGUGAGAGGUGGGCCUGGCCCUGGUCGGCGUUCGCGGAUACUUAACACGCUUAACGAGAUCUUGGUAUUUGAUCUGAGUCUGGCCAUUUGGUCUAUACGCACUAACCAUCUACGCGGGAGUAGUUAUGGGUAUCCCGGCGUCGUGGUAUCAGCCGAAGUUCUUCUUGACGUCAGCGACGGAGCGGCGCGCGCCGGAUUGGACUGGAACGCCUCGCAACGUGCAGGUGUGCAUAGGGCGAUGGGCCCAGACCCCUGCGCGCAUAGGGUUAGACCGGCGUGUUGACCUCUCGGUUGAGCCUAGGUGGGGCUGCGACGCGUUGAUCUUACGAGGCCGGGCAUGACCCAGAAAAGUGUGUCCGGCCAAAUGGGAUCGAGCGUGUUGGGUUAUGUGGUGCACCCCUGCAGGGAAGUUUAUCUAUUCGAAUAGCCGUGUCCCUCGGUAAAAGGACGACGGAGUUAUACCUUGACCUGAUGACAACUAGAACUGGAUACUGAAUAAAAUACACCCUUCCAAGUGCCAGAUACAACCCGGUGAUCGCUCUCUAACAGGGCGACGAGGAGGGGAUCGCCGGGUAGGAUUAUGCUAUGCGAUGCUACUUGGAGGACUUCAAUCUACUCUCUUCUACAUGCUGCAAGAUGGAGAUGGCCAGAAGCGUAGUCUUCGACUGGAAUAGCCAUCCCCCUCUUAUUCUGGCAUUCUGCUGUUCAGUCCACUGAUUUGGCCCUUUACACAUAUACCCAUUGCAUAUGUAGUGUAGCUCCUUGCUUGCGAGUACUUUGGAUGAGUACUCACGGUUGCUUUUCUCCCUCUUUUCCCCCUUGUAUACCUGAUUGUCGCAACCAGAUGCUGGAGUCCAGGAGCUAGAGAUCCCGAGGAUGUUUCUACAUGGAGUUCGGCUUCGAGGAGUAGUUAGGAGGUCCCAGGCAGGAGGCCUUGCCUUUUCGAUCGUUGCUACUUUUGUGCUAGCCUUCUUAAGGCAAACUUGUUUAACUUAUGUCUGUACUCAGAUAUUGUUGCUUCCACUGACUUGUCUAUGAUCGAGCACUUGUAUUCGAGCCCUCGAGGCCCCUGGCUUGUAUUAUGAUGCUUGUAUGACUUAUUUAUGUUGUAGAGUUGUGUUGUGAUAUCUUCCCGUGAGUCCCUGAUCUUGAUCGUACACAUUUGCGUGCAUGAUUAGUGUACGGUCAAAUCGGGGGCGUCACAAGUUGGUAUCAGAGCCAACUGCCUGUAGGAAUCCCCCUUUCCACACUCCUUGGCCGAAGUCGAGUCUAGACAUUACAAAACUUUUACUAACAUGGCUGUGUGUCUUACGGGCCCACGUCGCCAUUGGGUGGUAUUAGGAUCUUUUACUCCUUGCCUAUACUCUGGGACUCUGAUCUCUCUCCUAUUCGGGUUAAGUGAAUUUUGCUAAAUCUAACAUUAGGAUCUCGUUAUCACUUUCACCCGGAGAGCCCCUUAUUACUGAUGAUCGUCUGCUGCACGUGCAGACCCUGAAGAUACCCUCCGCUGAUAACCCGAGAACUUGUGUUCAUCGCUUUUGCAAUUCCCUUUCAUCGAUAAACUCCUAUGGAUAACCACGUAUACUCGCCACUCAUACAAUGUUUCCCAGUUGAUCUUGUUAUUACAAGAUACCCCGAAAUUCUCUCUGUUGCUCCGAGAAUCCUUUGGGCUUACUACCUUGCUGUUCUUUGCCACAUGAAUACCACUAUGGAUAAUUUCUAGCACUCACCGGAUAUUUGCUCAUCCCCAGUUGAUUCAGGUAUUUCACAAUAGUCUUCAAAAUACUAUUCGAUCUUCUGAAAAUCCUCAGGAGCCUAUUGCUCUUGAAAUUCUUGUUUGCUUGCAUUAUGGUUAAUCCCAUAGGUCUCGUAAUCUUAUUGGCAUCUCUUGUCAUGAUCAUUUUGAGUCCGUUGAUUCAAUUUGUUGCGAAUGCUCGCAAUCCUCAAUCAUAUCCUAGAAUUCAUCCUUCCGGCUCAGACGUCAUUUUUAACAUGAGCUGGAUCUCGAGCAAUCAAAUCGUCAUCGAUUGUUCCCCUAAGCCUACUCAACUUAUCCAUCCUUAAUCAGAGCGUUUGCUUCUGAUCCCUUGAAUUUGAAAUUAUAAUUCCUUUGCAUUGAGCUUUGAGUUAGUCAGUUGUUUCUAUAAUCUGAUCUCCUUGCAUUCUUUCUUCCUCUGGUUGAGUACUGAUGCUCACAUCAGAUCCCUUGUGGACCACCAGACCCUUUUGUCGGAUUUUAUCCGACAGUGUCCUCCAUAUUAAAUAAGCUUGUGAGCUUUUCCUCGGAUACAUGAUGCCUUUGGUAAAUUGUAUCCUCUGCUUUGUGAACCAUGCUCUACUUUCGAGCUUGUAUUAUUUACUUCGAAGUUUGUGGUAUAUGUUCCUAAGAUGCCCUGAUGGGUUGAACCUACACCUUCCCUAAUCCGCGUGAACCCGAAAGAUUUCACGGGUCAUACUUAUCUGGUAUUGCAUCAGGUAAAAACUUUCGACAACUAAUGUCAUUAUCAAAAUACGAGAGGCGAAUGGAAGGUUAUGCAUUGAAGAAGUGGGAGUCGACCUUGAACCUUUGUGUUCAUGCCCAUGGACACGAUGUAGAUCCUAUCAUGGAAGCUUCUUAUAAUAAUAACUAUUUCCCUGGUAUAAUAUCAUCUGGUAUAGGUGAAUUGAUCCUUUGCGAUCGUGGUUCCAACCAUGUUCUCCUUUAAAUACCAUUUCCUAUGCAAGUUUAAGUAAUUGUCUUCUAUAGAGCAAUACCCCAAUCCACCCUCUACUUUGAUCUGUCGUCGAGUAUUGCCCCCUGGUAUCUCGAGAUUAUCAUGGAACUGCAUAACUUCUUAUGAGUUCUUCAUCAAGUGCUACAUUCUCACUGAUUCCAAUUUUCCACGGGCUCUGAGUUAUUAGUCACUCGAGAACACCGAUAAGUGAAUCGAUUCCGCACUCCGAUUUAAUAACUCUAAGUAAUUCUUGUUGCUUACGAGUUUAAUAAUCCUUCAAGUCAUUCCUAGCCUUAUCGGCUAUAUCAUUAUCGUGCAAACUUUUUAACUGCGCUACCCGGUCCUUCCCGGAACACAACCUUCGAUGAUGAGCUAAGCUUACGUCGAUCUUCCUCGUCUUAUUAGUUCGCCUUGAACAACAAGCUUGAUUUCAAGUUUGUGUCGUACCCCUGGUUCCAAUAACUUUUCGCUUCAUCAUUCCUUUGACUUGAUGUCAUCGCCGAUCGAUUACCUCUUCAUAAAUUCUCGCUACAAAUGUGUCGUGAACAUCAUCAACAUUCUGAGCUCUUCCAAGAUAUCUAUCGAAUUCUGGAUGAGAAAUACCAUCCUUGCCCUCGAUGAUUUGUUUUAUCAUCGACCAUUUUAUUGCCAUCCAUUCAACACAAACUUGUUCGUGUUUUCUGUUGUACCUUGAUUUCCUUGCUAUCUAGCUUAUGAUAUGUUCUACACUGGAGUAUUACCAUCUUUUAUGUCAAGAAUGUCGUGAGAGUUUCACCACCUCUUAGGAAAUUCUUGAUACAGUGAUGCUUCUCCCCAUCAUCAUUCUUCUCUUGGUCCCCGUGUUGAGUGAACUCUGUUAUGAGAAUUUAAUAUCUCUAGCAACCUUGUUACUUCAGAGUUAAUGGACAAUAAUUCCAAUGUAGUGUGCUGGUUGCUAAAUUUCCAUUCCGACGUUGUUCGUGCAACCCAGCCCAUAUUUCGGGUGCCCCUUUCAACCAAUGUUUAAAUUGUGUAUGUUUUCCUCGAGCAUACAUCAUUAUACCAUUUGAUCUGCCAAAUGUUAUCUCCUUGUUCACAUAGUUGUGGAAAUCCAUCUUUUAUUAAUCUCGAUGAAUUGUCGCUGAUUCCAUCAGCCACCUCCUCAUCCUCUCGUUGGUUUACUGCGGGACUCUUGUUUUGGAACUCGCUUCCAUAGUUCAUUUCCCGAGAAUCUUACAAUGUCAUCUCGUCAUAUGGUGCCACACCUUUUUCUUCUCAGGCAUCCUAAGUCUAAGGUAUCCUGACACCAAUCAGAUCUGAAUCUCCGUCAGAUAUGGUGGUUGGAACAUUUUUCAAGAGUCACAACAUUGGUCUUUAUAUGGCCCGGUAGGGUGAUGACAUGCCUAGCACACUUGGCCGGAGGACCUAUUGUUAUAAGUUUUCCCUUUUAGCAAGGUUAGCUAUUCUUCCAUGAGGAAAUUGUAAGACUUAUUCUAUAAGUUGUUCCUGAUGGAUCCUUUUUGUUUCCAAAGUCUGAUCUUCACCUGUUGACCAUGUCAAUGCUAUCUCGAAGCAUGUCUAUGGUACUCCGAUUUUCAACGGGAACAUUUGAAGCACAAUGCUAAAUGUUUCCUGCGCAAUUAUCCAAACACCGUUGUAUGAGUAAUGUUCAUGAAAUUUCCUUCCCCUUACCUAAAGAGUUUUCUACGUUAUAUCCCGUCAUGGAUAUCACGCUCUGCUUACCCUUGGGAAGAAUAUACCCUUGAAAUAUGUGUUUUAACACAUUUUCCUUUCCAUUCUUCUGUUUAAUCUGAUAAUCAUAUUUUCCUUUCCAUUGUUUGAUUUAACCUUUCUGGUGAUCUAUAUGAUCUAAGCAGUAAUAUUCUCCUGCUUAUGUAAACACCUCGGUGUACAACUCUGUCAGUAAGACCCUGUUACUAUUGUUGGUGACAUUUCGGUAACCACCGAUGGACGAGAACUUUGCCUAAUGGUCCGCCUUGUUUCAACGAGCAGGAAAAUGGUUCUCUUCGUCCCUCGCCCUUGGUACCGACGUUGUUGCCGACAUAAUCGACAGGCUACCCUCUGACAUGUCUUGCUAUCAUGACCGUGCAAGAUGUCACCGUUCCUCCUACUUUGAAACCACAUGGUGGGCCCAUAACCCACAGUUCCACAGGAUCGAAACCUGACUCUUCUAUACAACCCUGUUUCUAAUGGUUAUACCUCACACUUGGCUCCGUAUUUAAUUCGCGGGCCACCUUCCUAGUGAUCUAUUUUGGUAUCAGACACAAUACUUAUUCCGUUGCUCAGAACCCUUCAGGCAUCGAACGAUUGCUUGCCCGCUCGAAACUUCCCCAUGAUACCUCCUUACUUUGCUCUCGAUAUUGUCUUAAAUUUCCAUUCGAGAGUUACUUUCCGCCACCUUCCCCGAUGUUAUCAACCAGAUAGUCAACCGUUCAGAGGUCCGUUCUUCCAGAAUACCCCCCUUACUCUGUCGUAAGUACGAUGGAGUUCCCGAAGAAAGGACGACAACUUUAUCAUGAUGACCUGAAACAGCAGAAUGAAGACAUCAAUGUAAUGGAUCAACCUCUUCGAGAAGAACAACCAAGACCAAGAACGCUCCCUAGAAUUUCGUAACCCGAACUUUCCCCUUUACUUCCCUCUUAAAUCUCGGGACGAGAUUUCUUGUAGUGGAGGAGAAUUGUGACGCCCGGAUAAUUAGGCUACAGUAAUCCCACGUUAAUGAUGCCACGUCACCACCGUUACUGUUGUUAAUCUCACUUCGAUUCAGAUCCCGUCCAAACUCAAAUUUAAAUUGCAAGACAAAUUUUAUUUCUUCAAAUAAUAGAAUAAAAAUGUUCGUCAGGAUGCAAAUAUUCACCAACUAAUUUUCAUGUUGAAACCAACUUCAUUUGUAUCACAAAUAAACUCCUAGAAAAUUAAUAAGAUGUCCAAUAGAAGUUAAAAUAAGCAAUUAAAUAUAAACCUAAUUAUACUUUUUAAAUGUCCCCAAACUCGUGAGCCACUCCAGAUUUAUUGCCUUUGAUUUAUAUGUGAGAUCUAAUAUGUAACAAAAAAAUCAUUUGAUGUCAAAAGAAAUACAAAACAGUAAAGAGAAAUUAGAAAAAACGGAAAAGUAAGAAAAGGAGUAUAACUUACUGGUUGGUCUGGGCCGUAAGUGUACAGUGGUUGCCCAGCCCAACAGGAGACACCUCCUACCGCUCUGCCUGCGUGUCGCCAUGACUGCCCUCGGAUGCCUCUCUACCGGCUGAUGCUCGACGCGUGCUGCUACAGGGGAUCGAGCAGAGGAUAAGAAGGCCCCAGGAACCCUUGACCGAACCCUAGGCCAUCCCUUUCCCCUCGCACCCCACACGCUCUCCCUCCCGAGCUCAGCCGCUCGCUGCCGUCACCGUGUCGACGUCGAUGCCGCGCACCGGAGCUUCCCCAUGGCGCCAGAAGAUGUCCAGGAGACGGGCCUCUUCGUAUUCGUUCUCUAUGUGAACCUACUCGAGUUGGAGCACCCUGGAGCCGCCGCCAUCGACCCAUCCCCUUCGGCCAUGGACUCCCGCGCCGCCGUUCGAUCCGUUCGCCUCCGACCACCUCGUGCCACCCCGAGCUCGUCAAUGCGUUCACUGUGAGCUUGCGCACCUCCUCUCCCUCUUCAUCUGCUCACGCGCGUACUCUAGUCGCGGGUUCGUGUAGCACCACCUUCGUCACCGCCGCGGACCACUCCGACCACGCAUGUCCGCGGCCGCCUUCCCCUGACCGUUCCCCGUGCCGCCCUGUUGCUGAUGCGCCGUGCUCAAUUAACCCUGAUCAAUUAACCUAAUCAGCUAAUUAAAUUAACUAAUCUGUUAAUUAGACUAACUGACUAGGUUAACUAGCUAACAACCUAUGACAUGAGGGACCCAUGCGUCAGUUUGACCAAGUCAACUAAUUGUUGACUGCUGACAUCAACCUGAUGUCAUGCUGACGUCAUAAUGGCAUUUUCUUAUUAAAUUAAUUCUGUUAAUUCUAAAAAUAAUUAAAACUUUAGAAAAUCAUAUAAAAUAAUCCGUAACUCGGAUGAAAAAACUGUGUACAUGAAAGUUGUUCAGAACGACAAGACGAAUCCGGAUACGUAGCCCGCUCAUCCGCCACACAUCCCUAGCAUAGUGAACCUGCAACAUUUUACCUCCGGUUCAUCUGUCCGAAAACGCGAAACACCGGGAAUACUUUCCCGGAUGUUUCCCCCUUUCGCCGGUAUCACCUACUACCACGUUAGGGCACAUCUAGCACUGCGUUUGUUAUGUUAUGCUUUGUGAUGCUUUGAUUGCUCUGUUAUUUAUUGUGUUCCCCCUCCGUUACUUCUUUGCGGUAGACCCCGAGACCGCUGCCGGUACCCCUGUGAUCGACUACAUCGACGACGAACCCUUCUCUUGCCAGAUGAACCAGGCAAGCCCCCCCCCCCUUGAUCACCAGAUAUCGCCUAUUCUUCUCUAUACUGCUUGCAUUAGAGUAGUGUAGCAUGUUACUGCUUUCCGUUAAUCCUAUCCUGAUGCAUAGCCUGUCAUUGUUGCUACAGUAGUUACCCUUACCUGCUAUCCUACUGCUUAGUAUAGGAUGCUAGUGUUCCAUCAGUGGCCCUACACUCUUGUCCGUCUGCCGUGCUAUACUACUGGGCCGUGAUCACUUCGGGAGGUGAUCACGGGUAUAUACUAUAUACAUUAUAUACAUGACACAUGUGGUGACUAAAGUCGGGUCGGCUCGAGGAGUACCCGCAAGUGAUUCUGAUGAGGGGGCUGAAAGGACAUGUGGCUCCACCCCGGUAGAGGUGGGCCUGGGUUCCUGACGGCCCCCGACUGUUACUUUAUGGCGGAGCGAUAGGGCAGGUUUAGACCGCCUAGGUGAGAGGUGGGCCUGGCCCUAGUCGGCGUUCGCGGAUACUUUACACGCUUAACGAGAUCUUGGUAUUUGAUCUGAGUCUGGCCAUUUGGUUUAUACGCACUAACCAUCUACGCGGGAGUAGUUAUGGGUAUCCCGGCGUCGUGGUAUCAGCCGAAGUUCUUCUUGACGUCAGCGACGGAGCGGCGCGCGCCGGAUUGGACUGGAACGCCUGCUAGGCUAGGUCUGCUUCCAGCCGCCCUCGCAACGUGCAGGUGUGCAUAGGGCGAUGGGCCCAGACCCCUGCGCGCAUAGGGUUAGACCGGCAUGUUGACCUCUCGGUUGAGCCUAGGUGGGGCUGUGACGCGUUGAUCUUACGAGGCCGGGCAUGACCCAGAAAAGUGUGUCCGGCCAAAUGGGAUCGAGCGUGUUGGGUUAUGUGGUGCACCCCUGCAGGGAAGUUUAUCUAUUCGAAUAGCCGUGUCCCUCGGUAAAAGGACGACCCGGAGUUGUACCUUGACCUUAUGACAACUAGAACUGGAUACUAAAUAAAAGACACCCUUCCAAGUGCCAGAUACAACCCGGUGAUCGCUCUCUAACAGGGCGACAAGGAGGGGAUCGCCGGGUAGGAUUAUGCUAUGCGAUGCUACUUGGAGGACUUCAAUCUACUCUCUUCUACAUGCUGCAAGAUGGAGAUGGCCAGAAGCGUAGUCUUCGACUGGAAUAGCUAUCCCCCUCUUAUUCUGGCAUUCUGCAGUUCAGUCCACUGAUUUGGCCCUUUACACAUAUACCCAUUGCAUAUGUAGUGUAGCUCCUUGCUUGCGAGUACUUUGGAUGAGUACUCACGGUUGCUUUUCUCCCUCUUUUCCCCCUUGUAUACCUGAUUGUCGCAACCAGAUGCUGGAGUCCAGGAGCCAAAGAUCCCGAGGAUGUUUCUACAUGGAGUUCGGCUUCGAGGAGUAGUUAGGAGGUCGCAGGCAGGAGGCCUUGCCUUUUCGAUCGUUGCUACUUUUGUGCUAGCCUUCUUAAGGCAAACUUGUUUAACUUAUGUCUGUACUCAGAUAUUGUUGCUUCCGCUGACUCGUCUAUGAUCGAGCACUUGUAUUCGAGCCCUCGAGGCCCCUGGCUUGUAUUAUGAUGCUUGUAUGACUUAUUUAUGUUGUAGAGUUGUGUUGUGAUAUCUUCCCGUGAGUCCCUGAUCUUGAUCGUACACAUUUGCGUGCAUGAUUAGUGUACGGUCAAAUCGGGGGCGUCACAGGGGAGGAGGAUAAUUUCAAGAGGGUUGUGGAGGAGAGAGGCAGAGAGAACAAGGCGAGAGGGGGUUGAGGUGCUUGUGAGCUAUGUUUGACCUCGAUCUGUUUUAGAUGUCAAUUUACAUCGUCGGUAAGAUAGACACGACGCGUGUACAUGCAUCUAUUGCCAAGUAUAGUUGCUAAUCAAUACAAUGGCAUGGCAGUAAAUAUUUUUGAUUGAUUCCCAAUUUGAGAUGUAACUAGACAAACAAGUCCUAUAAAUUGUUCUUCAAUACUUGAGUUGUAACUCGGGUCAUUACAUAGUCAAGAAACACGUAAAUCAUUCUUGUUCAAUUUUACUACUAUAGCUAAUCUAAAAGACGUAAAACCCAAAAAAUAACAAAUAUGUAUCUAAAAUAUAAAAUUGUGAACUGAGCAUAGCUCAGAUGGUUAGUUCCUUGUGGUGGAAUUAGCCCGCCAGGGUUCAAGUCCUACACUUAGCACCCGUGCUCGCAUUUUUCUAGAUUUAUUUCAAGUCUCCUCGCGAUGUUCAUUUUGUGGGAGGGGACAUUUCCAUUGAGUAUGAAGCGCCAGUGGUGACUUCAUCGAUCUCAAGAUUUUGUGUCUCGGUAUUUUGAAGGUGCUCAUAGAAAUAGGUUGUGCGUACAUGGAUUCAUAUGGGUGAGUAUAUGUGCACAUGUGGUUGUCCUAUGUUAAAAAGAUCGUACCACGGUCAUAUUUUGCUUAUAACCAUCUUAGGUUCAUAUGUGAAGCAUAUAAAUCUUUUUUAUCAAUUAUCACCAACUAUGAUAAAUCUCAAGCAUGUACAAAACAUAGCCUAAAAUAUUUUCCACGAGCCAUAUCAAACACCAAUAAAGGAGCACAACAAGAAUUUUUACUGAUCUUGGAUUUUAAACAUCUUUUGUAUUGUCUAAUACUCAUCCGUUUUGUAAUGUAGUGUGUUAGUUUUUUUGAAAAGUCAAACUUUGCAAACUUUGACCAAGUUUGUAGAGAAAACUAUUUAUAUCUACAAUAUCAAAUAUAUAAAAUAUGAAACUACAUCUUAUGUUGAAUCUAAUGAUAUAUGUUUGACAUUUUAGAUGUAAAUGUUUUUCUCCAUAAACUUGGUGAAAGUUUGUGAAAUUUUACUUUUCAAAAAAAAAGCACUACAUUAUGGAAUAGAGGGAGUACGUGUAAAGGAAUGUGUAACCCAUAUAUUUUAUCCUAUGUCACAAACUGAGCCAUGACAUGGCAUAAUGGCAUACAACAUUUGUUCACCGGCUUAAUUCAGAAAACUCAAAACCAUAAUGCAUCAUUAGUUUUUUCUUGAUCAUUGAAUUAGAGUUGUCAUUUGCAUCAUGAGAUAAGAUAAGUUAAGUUUUUAUCAUUGGCACUAGUUAAAGAAAUUCUUAGAUACAUAACUCUAUAACUUUGUGGCCUUUGGCUAUAUAAUAUCUUGAAAUGACAAUGCAAGCUCUUUUAAUUAUGGUCGGACAGCCAAUAGUCGUGUAGAUUAUUGGUGUUAGUUGUGGCUAAGGAAAGCAAAAUCUCAAAAUUAUACAAGGGAUAUGAAUAAAAUAAUUGCCUCUCGUUUUUUGGAAAAUGCCAAACCACACCACAAUGAUCAAUUUUGCUUGACCGUGUAUCCGGGUUAUUCAUUUAUCAUCAAAUAAUCAAGAAAGGUUUGAGUCUAUUUUUAAUCAAUUGCCCGAUGAAAUUUUUAAAACGAUAGCAAAUCAUAUAAUACCACCAGGAUAUAUGUGUACUAUUAAAAAUGUUAUUCGUGAGAAAUAUUAAUCAUUUUUGUUGAGAAAAUGUCACAAUGUAUAACUAGGGAAGAAUGUUAAUCACGUGACUAGUUAGUGGCUAACUAAUCGCAUCUUCAUCUCCUAUUGCAUGACUACUAAUUGGUAUCUUUAGAAAAUAACUAAUGUGUCAAAGCUACUAGUGUAUACAUGUCCAUCUCCUCUUGAAUCACUGAUGAUUUGUAUCUUUAGAAACUAACUAAUGCAUCCUAGUUUCUGUAGUUUUCGUGCUCGGAUACACCUGCACCAAGCCAUACCAUGACUGCAUCCAUCAGUUACAAAUAUGCACUAUCUCCUAUCCAACUACACGGCUGGCAUUUGCUAGCUAGAACUCAUUAGCUUAUAAAGGUAUACUAUUAAUUUCUCAAUAUAUACAUGAUUAAUUUCUCAAGAUUUACCAUAAAUAUAUACGCAUUUAUUUGGAGAUUCCUUAUUAUGACCUGGAUUUAUCUCAAGAGAGAACUCAUAUAUAUAGGAAAAUAGUUGUAUCUAUCAAAUUGUUGAGUAUGUACGCGUAGUAUGUAGUAUAUAAGAAUGUUUAGGUAGUAUGUAUCAUAUUUUGAGUAUGCUUCUUUUUACGUACAAAUAUGUACAUAUUUCACAAAUAUAAUAAAAACAAUGGGUCAACUUGCAGUUUUUCCAUGUAACUUACUUUGAAGUAUCUUAUAUAUAGUGCAUAAACAUGCUUAUAAUGAUAAAGUAGUAUAUAUAUUUUACUGCAUAAUAGUAUAUGAGAAAUGAGGGUAACUAACCCCAGGUGGUAGGAUGUACUUUCNNNNNNNNNNNNNNNNNNNNNNNNNNNNNNNNNNNNNNNNNNNNNNNNNNNNNNNNNNNNNNNNNNNNNNNNNNNNNNNNNNNNNNNNNNNNNNNNNNNNNNNNNNNNNNNNNNNNNNNNNNNNNNNNNNNNNNNNNNNNNNNNNNNNNNNNNNNNNNNNNNNNNNNNNNNNNNNNNNNNNNNNNNNNNNNNNNNNNNNNNNNNNNNNNNNNNNNNNNNNNNNNNNNNNNNNNNNNNNNNNNNNNNNNNNNNNNNNNNNNNNNNNNNNNNNNNNNNNNNNNNNNNNNNNNNNNNNNNNNNNNNNNNNNNNNNNNNNNNNNNNNNNNNNNNNNNNNNNNNNNNNNNNNNNNNNNNNNNNNNNNNNNNNNNNNNNNNNNNNNNNNNNNNNNNNNNNNNNNNNNNNNNNNNNNNNNNNNNNNNNNNNNNNNNNNNNNNNNNNNNNNNNNNNNNNNNNNNNNNNNNNNNNNNNNNNNNNNNNNNNNNNNNNNNNNNNNNNNNNNNNNNNNNNNNNNNNNNNNNNNNNNNNNNNNNNNNNNNNUAGAAUAACUAUUUGGAUCACGGUGAGCUAUAUAGGGCCCGAUGGAUGUUCCUGAGAUCCGAAAAUUCCACCAAACAGAAAAAUAAAAUAAUCCCCACGUACCUCCCCACGCCCCCACUUCCUCCCUGAUCCAGCCACCAUCCCCACGCCCCCACUCCCUCUCCCAUCCAGCCACCCACCAUCAUCGGCGUCGGCCCACCACCGCCUCGGGAAUCGGCCGCCGUGCCGCCACCGCUAAGAGAACCGGCCACCGCUUCCUUCCCUUACCGCGCCGCCGCCGCUUCCCUCCCCGGACUGCGCCACCGCCGCCGUGACCCUCCAUGGAUCAUGCCACCGCCGCCUCCCUCCCCGGAUUGUGCCGCCACCGUCCGCCGCUAGCUACCGCUGCCUGUGCAGUCCUUCGCUAGUUGCCGCUGCAGUCCACCGCUAGCUCUCGCGGGGGAGGCAGUGCUGCUCCGGCUACCCAUGCGUCACCGGCUGCCGCCGCGAACGGCGUCCGAACGCCAUCACGUACCGCCCCUCGGCGCCGCCUCUAGCGCGUACCUACUACAGCCUCGGGACAAACCUCUUCCACGCGGGCGACUGGUCGCUCAAACUUCCCCUCGCCGGCCGUCGUGGGCCUCUGUAUCCUCUCAUGGCGGCUCCUCCCCUGUGGCACAAGCAAGGUCAACUGCGGAUCAACGAAAGAAAUAGCGCGCUACAAAAUAUAGCGAGGCCCUUAUCCAAAUGCUACACAAGUUAUAGCGUGCUAUAUUUCAAAAUAACGUUUGCAAAAAAAUUCAAAUAUAUCUAGAAAUAAAGUAUUUAAGCAACUAAAUUUUUGCUAGGAGCAAGCAAUAUAUGCAUAAGGGCCAAAUCUAGGACAUAAAAAUUGGAAGUCUCAAACAGUUUCAAGAUAAAAAGAGUGAGAAAGGUAGUGGUCGUGGGUUGGUUUUGGCCUGCUGGGCUGUGGUUGUUUAAAUUUUGCAUGGUCUGCACGUUAAAACGUGUAACGCUACAACGUUAUAGCGUGUGUAGCGCGCUAAUUACGCAAUUAGCGCCGUAGCGGCCGAUUUUGCCAAAACGUAACGUCACCCUUCCGAAUAUGCUAUAACCGCGCUAUAACGGCGAAAUAGUGUGCUAUUUUUUUCGUUGCUGCGGAUGGAUGAGACUCAAAAAAUGGUGGUACGUACUGGAAAAUACUCCUGGCAUACCCAUGUCGUUGGCAGCAAAAGGUAUUUCAGUUACUAGUUCUUCCAUAUGCUAGAGGAAUUUCUUUCAGCCCACCUUGAGCAGAGCUCGUGGCAUCAAUUCUUUAUUGUUUCUGUGUGAAAAUUUAUGAGCAGGAAGGAAUAGUUCUGCCCGAUGAGCAGUUCCAAUUGAGUUCUCCCUAUAGAUAGUUUGACUUUUAUUUCCAAGCAUUAAGUUGUCCUAGAUAUUUGAUUGGUACUCCACCUUGCAAGCAAGGAUGCUCUGAAAAUGAAACACGUGAUGUUUGAUACACCUUGGUACACCACGACUCAAGCUCUCUGUAUUUUUUGUUAAAGGUCAUCGGGCUGGGCACCGGCUGCUUAUGUGUUGUACGCCUUGGCGUCCCUGUGCUGGUGAUGAGCGUGAUGGCCGUGCAUUGACCUGCAUCGCCUGUCCGAACUGUGCCGGCCAUGCGUCCGACGACCUCAUCCAUCCCUGAUCACCUCUUCCACGCAAUCGGCCGCACAUACACAGACAUGCCUGUGCUGUAUUAUACUUGAACUUCAGAGCUUCUGAACUCUCUGUAUCGGUGUGCAUGUUUUCAUAUUGUGUCAUUGCAUAGCUCCACCACUGAAUUUGGAAAUUCAGUCAAUGCUUAAACUUGAUAAAAAAGAGCAAGAAACAGCGACAGGUUAUGUGUGUUUUUCACGGAAGUGAGCUGGGAAUUUAGAUGUUCCUUUUCAUAAUAUUAAGGGCAUCGAUCAUUCAACUAUUUAUGUUAUCCUUCGUGCUCUGACUUGAGUGAAGUUAUGUGAACUAGCAUAGUAUAUUGUAAUUUUCUGAUUUUGAGUCAUGGCAUAUAGUCCUCACACAAAGUAGUUGCAAAUAUAUUGAAGUAUAUUAUGCACAUAGUUAUCCUCCCUAAUGCCUAAACUGGUACCUUUUCAAUCUUUGUGCUGACUACUAAACAUAAUUAUUGUAGGUCUUCCCUGACCCAUGGUCACGCGAAAGCAGUGCUACUCCGGCAAGCUCCUCUGUCCCCCAAGCACAGUGUUGUCCAUGACGGUCUCCUCCCUCAUGUUUCCUCAGCGAGGAUGAUGUCAAUUUUUUGCGAAACAAAAAGUUAUGUAGUUCUUCAGUAUAUGUCCAUAGAAACCUAUGACAAUUUCUUCAGUAGCAGUUCAACAAAAAAUCCUGUUGUAGUUCUUGAGUAUUGUUCCAUUAGAAUUUCAUGUUAUCUAAGUAUUUUUAGUACUUGCUAUUGCAGAUAAGUGUUUGUUAGAAUUGACAUUCUGUCAGUAAAGUACCAUUCUUCAGUAUAUGUUCUGAAAAUUUCAUCUUUUGUGUGCCUGGUGUGAAUCGUUGGUCAUCUCUCACUUUUGCUCCUGAAUUAGAGGUAGCAUGUUGAUUUUCGCACUUGAUGAAGAACAUAUCCUAAAAUGCGAAAAAAAUUGUUCGCCAAUGUAUAAUUUAUUGUUCGUAAAGAUCUAUUUUCUUCCAGAGUGAUGAAGUUUUGCUCCUAAACAAAGAACUUUAUUUUGGUCCUAAAUGAGGAGGUAGUAUAGGGAACUACAUGUACGUGUUUUUCCAAAAACUUUCUUAAACCAUUUUUGAUGAAGUAUAGGGAACUUCAUGUACGUGUUACUCCCAAAACGAUAUGAAACUUUGUAUGUACAAUUUUUUAAUAUACCAUAUUGAUUGAGAACUAAAAAGGGCAUGCUUUUUUAAUAAUCUAGAAGUUCAACGACUUCCACCUAGAAAGUUCAAAAGACAUUAUUUUUGAGGGAGAACACAUCCUGCCUAGAUGAUGCAUAUGGAAUAAAAUGUAAAUUCGCAAUGAAGUUCAUAUAUAAAAAAAGUUUAAGUUUGCUUAGAGGAAAAGGUGCAUUUCUGAAAAAAGGUACAUGUUUUCUAAUUCCAGAUGCUUAUAUGGUUGUCCUGUGACACUGAAAUCUUUUUCAUUUUAGGUGAGCCAAAUUUUUGUGUGGAUGUGCUGUGCAUGUGCUUGUGCGUAGUACACUGAAUAGAACAAAAAGAAUAUUAGGGGUGCCCUCUAAAUGUUUGUCCUACUGCUUAGUAGAAUUGACCCAAAAUUUCCUAUUGUUUUUGCACAUGUUGGAUUCAAGGGAAAAAGUGUAUAAAAAAGCUGUGAUUUCGAAAGUUCAGGUGUAACGAACAUUGAAGUUCAAACCAAUAAAAUGUAAAAAAAAAUCAUGGAAUUCAAAGAAUAAAAACUAUGGAGUUCAUGAAAAAAAAAAUAACACCCGAAGUUCAUGUUUCAGAAAUUCCGAAGUUCACGUGUACCACGUACAGAAGAAAAAUCAUCAAAUGAAAAACGGGACCGCCCAGGCCAUUUCACCGAAAAGCAAAAAAUGCAUAAAAAAAUGUCACGACAAAAUUCUAUAAGAAGUUCAAAUUUAAAAACCGAAGCAGGUCAAUGUUAAAAAUAUGAAGUUGUUAAUAUCUAAAAGACAAAUUUGGAAGUUCAAAAAAUUUGAGCAAGAAGUUAAAAAAAGUAGUUCAAAAAUCUUUAUAACGGAUUUUCCCCAUUUGUAAAAAAACAGAGAAGUUCAAAUAAAAAAGAGGAGCAUUUCAAAAGAUUGUAUGAAAAAUGAUUUUCCCCAUUUUAUAAAAACUAGAAGUUCAAAUUAAAAUAACGGUGCGGUAUCAUUGUUUAUAUAAAAAAAGCAUUUUCCCCGUUACUAACCAAAAAUCUAAGAAGUUCAGAUUUAAAAAAGGGUGAAGUUCGAUGUCCAUAGAAAAUCGCAUUUUUCACAUUAUUAAAAAAUAAAACCAAGAAGUUCAAAAUUUUAAAACAAAGAAGUUCAAAAAACUCGAUUUUCCUCAUUACUAAAGAAUAAAACUAAGAAGUUCAAAUUAAAAUAACAAAGAAGUUCGAAGUAUAUAAAAAACUCAUUUUUUUCCCAUUAUUAAAGAAUAAAUGAAGAAGUUCAAAUUUAAAAUAGGAACAACAAAAAAAGUUCAAGUGCUCUGUCCGGAGAAGUUCAAAAAUUCUUGCGAGAGAGGUUCACCUUGUAUUUCCAUGUUCGAUUUUUUUCGUAUAAAAAUCGAAUACAAUUCUUUACUCAAAGUAUAAAAAGGUGAAGUUCAAAUUGAAAUAACAGAGAAGUUUGGAGUUUAUUAAAACCUAGGAUUUAACUAUUCAAAAAAUAAAAAAACACAACGCCAUUUUUUUACUUUUAAAAACAACUCAUAAACGAAAAAAAUAGUUGCUAGAAGUUCAAGUGCUCGGCGAGGAAAAGUUCAAAAAAAUCUUGUGAGAGAGGUUCACCGUGUAUUUAGAUGUCCAAAAAUACAUAAAAAAUAAGUUGUUUUUUGUGUUUUAAAAUAAUUCUCUCAAACCAGAGAGAAGUUCAAAGUGAUAACAACCGGACGUUCUCGUACUACAUGGGGUGUAUCUCAUAUAAGAAAAAUACAAUAAAGUGAAACAGAGUGAUGUUCAAACAGACAUGCCCCGAAAGUUCAAUUAUUUCACGCAGUGCAAAAAAUAGCACGUAAAAAACAGAGUGAAGUUCAAACAAACAUGCCUGAGAAGUUCAACUACUUCAUGCCGUGCAUUUCCAUUCGCGAUGAAGCCAGAAAUCAUGAUCUCGUCAUUUUCUAAUUUACUUCAAAACGACAGAAAUAUCAUUUGUAUAAAUUCAAGUCCUCGGUCGGAUAAAGUUAAAAAAUAUAUUUUGAGAGAGGUUUGUACAAAAAGAAUAUCAUUUGUGUAACACUGGCGAAAUGGAUGAGAAAAUUACAAACGAAAAUACACAGACGUUCAACAUGAAAACAGCAGGAAGUUCACCAAGUACACUGAAUGAAUUUUGGAUGAAAAAUUUUUAAAAUCCUCGCGAGUAUGAAAAAUGAUCAACAUGGGAAAGUUGCGUGUUUAUAAUAGUUUUCCACCGGUAUAUCACUUGCUCAAUUCCGGUGAGUGGAUGGAGAGCUAUGAGCAAAAAAAGUACGUGAAAAAAUCAGAGUGAAGUUCAAGUAGACAUACCGAGAAGUUCAAGUUCUUCACGCGGUGCAUUUUCGAAGAAUCUGUUUUCCGAUAAAGGCAGAACGUAUGAUCUCACCGUUUUCGAAAUUACUUGAAAAUGGCUAGGAAUCAGAGAAAACCAUCAAUAUGAAAAAGUUUUGCAUUUUCUGUAGCUUUUCAGCGUUAUAUUAUUUGCCCCAUUCCGAUAAAGUUUGUAGAAAUUACGAUGAAAAUACAGUUCUGGCCAUUUUCAAAAUUGACUGAAAAAUAUAAGAAAUUGGGAGAAACAAUAUAUACAAAAAAAGUUUCGCAUUUCCUCAAGCUUUCCAACGCCAUAUAAUUUGCUGCAUUCGGACGUACGGUUACAAACUUAGCUCGAAAAUACGAACUCGGUGGAACUUGUAUCAUUUUCUAAAUUACUUUUAAACUGUUCAAAAUUAGAAAAACCUUUUAACAUGAACAAGUAGCGCAUUUUCAUAAGCUUUCGAACGCAAUAUCAUUUGCCUCAAUUGGAUUAACCUUUUGGAAAUGACAUCGAAAAUAUGAACUCGGCUGUUCAGUUUGCGAAAUUUUACGAUUUUCUAAAUUACUCUUUUACCAUAGUGAAUUAGAGAAAACUUUCAACAUGUGUAUGGAGCAGUUUUACAGCAACUUUCCAAGGCCAUAUUAUUUGCCUCAUUCUGAUAAACUUUUUAGAAAUGUGAUAAAAAAUACAUUAACAUUUUUUGUAUGAAGAAAAAACGGUUUUCGACACUGCUCUUAAACCGCUUACAUUUUGCAAAAAAUUAACUUGGGUCAUAAUACUGGUGUCCAUUGCUUUCCAAAGGUAUAUCGCAAGCCCCAUUUGGGCAAUGUUGGCGGAAGUUCAACCUAGCACUGGGAGAAGUUCAGGUCGAACAACUCAGGCAGUAAAAUUGCCAAAAACGCAAUUUCAUCCCGACCCGAGAGCAAAAUCCGCCAUUGAGCGAGAUUCCUAUUUAAAACGGGUAUUUAGUUGCUAAAAACGUUUCCAGAUUACACUAACAUCAUAUAGAACACGACUAACUAGAAUAAUUCACGCAGGGAGGCACGGUCGCGAAGAUAGCCCGAAGGUCGGGUUUCUACAAAGGGAAGUUCAGGCGUGUAACUCAGGAAAUUCAUGUUGUGAUCAGAAUAAUAUUCUGAUCCCGUGAUCAGAAUAGUGUUUAUAUAUAUAUAUAUAUAUAUAUAUAUAUAUAUAUAUAUAUAUAUAUAUAGAGAGAGAGAGAGAGAGAGAGAGAGAGAGAGUAGCACUAUUCGGAUCUUAGGAUCACAAUAAUAUUCAGAUUACCGCGCGCCCUAUAUAGGGCCUGAUGGACUUGUUCCCGAACUCCUCCGAAAGCCACCAGCCGUUGGGAUCCUACCGCUGCACUCCGCGCGCAGCCGGCUGCCGGGUUCCGACGCUCCGCCCAGCACGCUGCCAGCCGUUGUUUCAUGCUCGUCGAUACCCAGCUGUUGCCCGCCGCCGCCUGCAUCCCCAGGCGUUGCCUUCCUCGCACCGUUCCCUAUCUCACCACCGUUUGCCCCGAUUCACCCGCCGGCCUCCGCCACGUCGCCGGGACCAGGUAACCGACCGCCGUGCCUCCAAGGCCAAAGAAUAUGGUCAUUGUCCCACCUUCCUAGUUCCUACCCCAUGCGGUGUCCCUCCUUCCUCCCCCGACCGCACCCGCCUUCAAUGCCAAAAAAUACAGUUACCGUCCCACCUUCCUACCCUGUCUGCGGACCCACCUUCCUCCUCAGGCUGGGUGUCGGUGCCCCACCUUCCUCCAUCGCCUGCAUUUCCCGUAGAAAGAGGUUGCCAUGUGGCGAGUGGCUGCCACUUAAUCACUCUGCGGCUUGACACCACAAUGAUUGACGACAUGGGUCGAGGUGGAGUGGUUGGGUGAGGUGGUUUUGCCUCCGUGAGUCCCGGCAGGCCCUGCCGGGACGUCUUGGAUGUUUUCUUCCGAGGGCGACCCUGCCCUCACCGAGCUCGUCUGCCCGGCAAGGGAGGCUUUUCUCCUGGUGGUUCUUGCUUUUCUGACUUGAUCUUGCUCCUGUUGAUCUGCAUGUUGAUCCUUGGAAGAUCUCAGUCUCAUGUAAUCUGGUAUGGCCCGGUGCCGUAAUUUCGCUCCCGUGCAUGUGCAUAGUCUGGGAAACAGACACAGCGUUUGUUGCACCGACAAAAGCCCCCAAGCCUGCCCUGAUCGCGCUGCUGAGCAUCGUCGGGGUAGGCCCUAAUAACUGCACAUGCGGGGGGCGCUGAAGAGGCUAGUUUCUUGAGGUAUUCUUCGCUCCAUCAUUAAUCUUAAGCCCGGGCCAGUUUCCGAUUUCUCCGCACGUCAUAUGUGACGUUACGAAGAAACUCAAAUCGUGGUCCGUCGGGCCCGGGCCAGGUCCACCAUCAUCUUUCAUCCAUGAUUUAUUGUUUGUCGAAGAAACAAAACUAAGUUGAGGUAUUGCUUUCUCAUAUGUGAAUGAGAUGCCAUGUAAAAAAGUAUAGUAGAAGAGAAAUUGCUUUGUUGUUGUGCUUGCACAACUAUGUAAUUUUUUUUUGUUUUUGCGAAGGUGAAAAUGUUGUGUUUGAGAAGGUCAAAGUAUGUUGAGUACAUAUUGUCAUUUUUGCAACCACCGGAGGCAAACAAUUGUAAAUUUUAGUAUGAAUGUGACUCGAAGUUCUUUGGAAAAUCAGUAAUAAAAAAUCUGGAUGUCCAGAAUGUACUAAGGGAUGUAAGCUAGGGUGUUGAUUUUCUGUAGAUUUUGCACGGGACUGUAACUUUGUAUAAUUUGCAGCACCCUCUGAUAGGUGGAAACUUGUUUUUUCCUUGUGAUAUUACCACUUCAAAGUCGUGGAGAAAGCUCUCCUUCUCCUGUUGUUGUACUGCGAACAAUAUAUACACAAAAAGGAUAUAAUGCAUACACAUAAAAGUUCUGGAUGCUUAAAAAAGAUGUUGAAGUUCAUUUACCAAACUUCAUUUUAGUCCAUUAUGUAAUAGGACACAAAAUAGUUGGUACAAAAAAGAUAAGACAUUUAAAAAAAUUGGGUGAAAGGGGAGAGAGGGUUAGAGCAAAAAAUUGGUAACAAAAGCUUCACCCAUAAAAAUUGUUAAAUUUAGAAGUUCAAAUUCAAUAAAGCUGAGAGUUCAGGAAUAAUAAUAAAAGCAAAAAGGUGACACACAGAUGUUUGUACAGAUUCCCCCCAUGGAUUUCCUCGUUACUAAUAAUAAAUAAAACGUCUAGAUAUCCCUUGUUUGCAACGACCCGAGUAAAUAAUUAUUUUUCAUUUUUUCUUGAAGUUCAAAUUGGUGAACCCAGGCCGUUCAAUGUUGCGAACCCAGGCCAUUCAAGUCCCCUGAUCUCCCUCGUUUCCAAAAAAGGAUUUUCCCCAUUUUAUAUUUGAAGUUAUAAAAAAGGAUGUUCCCCGUUUCUAAAAAAACUAGAAGGUCAAACUAAAAUAAGGGAGUGGUUCAAUGUUUUUCAUUUAUUAGAAAAAUAAAACAAGAAGUCCAAAUUAAAAGAUGGAGCAAUUUAAUGUUUAUAAAAAAACUCAGAUUUUCGUCGUUACUAAAGAAUAAAACCAAGAAGUUCAAUACUAGAGAAUAAAGCCAUGAAGUUCAAAAUUUUAAAACGAAGUAGUUUAACCUAUAUAAAAAACUUAGAUUUUCCUUGUCAAUAAAGAAGAAAACCAAGAAGUUCAAUUGAAAAAAGCGGAGCAGUUCGAAAAUUAUUACAAAACUCAAAUUUUCCCGUACAUAAGAAAAGGAAACAGGGUGAAGUUCAAACAAACAUGCCCCAGAAGUUCAACUUCUUCACGCGGAGCAUUUUGAAAACUCUGUUUUUGCGAUGAAGACAUCACACAUGAUCUCGCCGUUUUAAAAAAUUCUUCACAACGACUUGGAAUUAUAGCAAACUCUCUACAUGCAAAAGUUUCACAUUUUUUAUAGCUUUCCAAUGCUAUAUCAUUUGCCCCAUUCUGAAAAGUUAUUGAAAUAUGACGAGAAAAAAGUAGUUUUGACCAUUUUCAAAAUUGACUUCAAAACAUUUAAAACUCAAAUUCUUUUCGUAUCUAAGAAAAAUACAAGUAUGAAGUUCAAUUUUAAAAAUAAAUGUUUGAUGCUUAUUUAAAACCGUAUUUCUUCUAAGCAGUUCAAAUUAUAAUAAUAGAGAAGUUCAAAGGCUAUAAAAACUCAGAUUGUCUCUCGUUACUAAAGAAUAAAAUGAACAAGUUCAAAAUAAAAUAAAAAUGAGCAACUAAAAAAUUUAAAACAUAUUUCCCCCUUUUUAAAAAACUAGAAGUUGAAACUAAAAUAACGAAGUGGUUCAAUGUUUUUGAAAAACUAGGAUUUUAUGAUUAUUUAAAAACUUAUGUAUCCCUUGUUAUUAUAGAAUGGACCAUGAAGUUCAAAACGAAAAAAUAGGCAAAUUUGAUGUUUAUCUAAAAAAAAAUUCUUUACUCAAAAAUACUAAAAAGGUGAAGUUCAAAUUAGAAUGACACAGGAGUUCAAAGUUUAUUAAAACCUAGUAUUUAUGAGUUCAAAACACUAAAAAAAUCAACGCCAUUUUGGGCAUUUUUAAAGACAACUCAUAAACGGUGAUUCAAUUUUGAAAUUACUCUCUAAAUGCCAAAGUUUAUCCUAUUCAAACUCUCUCCAACAGGAUAUCAUAUGAUCUAUUCCAUUAAAUUGUUUAAAAUUUUGGUCUAUAGUGUUCGAAAAAAUAAGUUUUAACAUACUCAAAAAAAGAUCCUAAAAAUGUCAUGAAUUAGAAAAAUUGCUCAACACGUAAAGUUGCGCCUUUUCGAUGGCUUUCUAAUGGUAUAUAUUUUUCUCAGUUUCGAUGAAUGUUUUAGGAAUUAUGGUUAAAAAAGCAAAGAGAAGUUAAAAGUGAAAGCAACCAGUGAUUCAAUUAGUACAUGGAGUGUGUUUCAUAUAAGAAAAAAAGAAUAAAAAGACUUUAGCUAGAAGUUCUCGUGGUCGGCCGACGAAGUUCAAAAAUUCUUGUAAAGGAGGUUCACUCUGUAUGUAUUUACUUGCACAAAAACACAAAUAAAUGUUGUUUUUUGUGUUUUCAAACAAUUUUCUCCAUCCAUUACAAAUUUGAAACAAAAAAGCUCGACACAAAAAAUGUUCUUUCUAUUCAACAAAUUUCCAAGGGCAUAUUAUAUUCUUAUUCCAAAAUAAAUGAUUAAAAAUGGUCUAUGUUGUUCGAAAAAUAAGUUUAACCGUAUGAAAAAAAGUUGCGUCUUUUCAACAAAAAUACGUUACCAAAGUUCAAUGUGAAAACGGCGAGCAGUUCAACUACUAUACGGAAUGGGUUUUAGAUGAGAAUAAAAGAAUACAAAACUAAAUGCUUUAAACAUUUUUUGCAAGAAGUUCACGUGCUCCACCCUGCACGGUUCAAUAAUUAUAUUAGAAGAUGUCCGAACUUCAAUUACAUGUAAAAAAAAAGGCAAAAACAACAUUAUUUUUGCCAUUUUUAAAACUACUCUCAAAUGGCAACGAAUUUGUAACAUCUGUCUGCAUGAAAAUUUUGUUCCUAUUCAUAAGCUCUCCAACGGUAUAUUAUAUGCUACAUUCUGAUGAACGGUUUAAAAGUUUCAUGUAUACCAUUAAAAAUAUCUUACAAACCGUUGCGAGUAUGAAAAAAUGGCCGAACACGGGAAAGUUGCGUGCUUUCAACAACUUUCCAUCGGUGUAUUAUUUUUCCAAUUCCGGGUAAGUGGUUGGGGAGUUACAUGCAAAAACCAGCACGUCAAGAAUAGAGUGAAGUUCAGACACACAUGCCUCAGAAGUUCAACUUCUUCACGCAGUGCAUUUUCGAAGACUCAGUUUUUGCGAUGAAGGCAGAACGCAUGAUCUCGUCGUUUUCAAAAUUACGUAAAAACAGCUAGGAAUCAGAGAAAACUUUGUGUAUGGAAAAGUUUCGCAUUUUAUAUAGCUAUCCAGUGGUAUAUUAUUUGCCCCAUUCCGACAAAGUUUGCGAAACUUAUGGGCAAUUUUUUUUUACCAUUUUCAAAAUUCACUUAAAACCGUAAAUAAUUGGGAGAAACAUUAUAUACAAAAAGUUUCGCAUUUGUUCAGGCUUUCCAAUGUCGUAUCAUUUGUUGUAUUUCGACUAACCAUUUAGGGAAAAACCCAAAAAUACAAACUCGGAGGAGCUUCGAUCGUUUUCUAAAUUACUUUUAAACCGUUCAAAAUUAGAAAAAUUAUUCUACAUGAAAAAGAUGCGCAUUUUCAUAAGCUUUCCAACAUCAUAUCCUUUGCAUCAAUACGACUUGCCAUUUUCAAAUUACGCCAAAAUACGAGCUCAGCUGUUCGGUUUGAGAAGUUCUGCCAUUUUUCAAACUGCUCUCUAACUAUUGUGAAUUUGGGAAAAAUUUAUAUAUGUCGAGUGAGCAGAUUUGCAGCACCUUUGCAAUGCCACAUUAUUUGCCUCAUUCCGAUAAACGUUUUAGAAAUGGUCUCGAAAAUAGGAUUCAUGUUUUUUUGUAUGAUAUGAAGAAAAAUGGUUUGUAAAACUGCUCUUAAUCCGUGUAGAUUUUGACAUAAGUUUAACUUAGGUUGUGAUCCAUGUGUCGACAACUUUCCAACGGUAUAUUGCAAGACCCAUUUUGACAAUGUUCGCGAAAGUUCAAACUCUCCUUGGAUGAAGUUCAACUACUACUACUACGACAUGUCGGUUAGUUAUUAGUGUGUG